Canis lupus familiaris (dog) is the source of this 88-nucleotide non-coding RNA. The record is from Rfam. Lineage: Eukaryota; Metazoa; Chordata; Mammalia; Carnivora; Canidae.
GGGGGGAGGCCGGAUCCUGGGCUGUGUCCUGGUGCCCUGUGCUCCCGGUCUGCACUGGUGGAUUCGCUCUCAGGCCCCGCAGCCGCCU